GACGAACGCUGGCGGCGUGCCUAAUACAUGCAAGUCGAACGCACAGUUUAUACCGUAGCUUGCUACACCAUAGACUGUGAGUUGCGAACGGGUGAGUAACGCGUAGGUAACCUGCCUGGUAGCGGGGGAUAACUAUUGGAAACGAUAGCUAAUACCGCAUAAUAUUAAUUAUUGCAUGAUAAUUAAUUGAAAGGUGCAAUUGCACCACUACCAGAUGGACCUGCGUUGUAUUAGCUAGUAGGUGAGGUAACGGCUCACCUAGGCGACGAUACAUAGCCGACCUGAGAGGGUGAUCGGCCACACUGGGACUGAGACACGGCCCAGACUCCUACGGGAGGCAGCAGUAGGGAAUCUUCGGCAAUGGACGAAAGUCUGACCGAGCAACGCCGCGGGAGUGAAGAAGGUUUUCGGAUCGUAAAGCUCUGUUGUAAGAGAAGAACGGGUGUGAGAGUGGAAAGUUCACACUGUGACGGUAUCUUACCAGAAAGGGACGGCUAACUACGUG
RNAcentral lists this ribosomal RNA (505 nucleotides) under uncultured bacterium. RNAcentral's name for it is "partial 16S ribosomal RNA". It matches the Rfam family "Bacterial small subunit ribosomal RNA", at positions 28 to 507 of the family's 1533-position model. The record is from RNAcentral.